Molecule: ribosomal RNA, 301 nt
Filed under: uncultured bacterium
Lineage: Bacteria
Description: partial 16S ribosomal RNA
Rfam family: Bacterial small subunit ribosomal RNA
Source: RNAcentral
CAGCAGCCGCGGGAAUACGUAGGGUGCGAGCGUUAAUCGGAAUUACUGAGCGUAAAGGGAGCGUAGGCGGAUCGUUAAGUUGGGGGUGAAAGCCCGGGGCUCAACCUCGGAACUGCCUUCAAUACUGGCGAUCUUGAGUAUGAGAGAGGUGUGUGGAACUCCGAGUGUAGAGGUGAAAUUCGUAGAUAUUCGGUAGAACACCAGUGGCGAAGGCGACACACUGGCUCAUUACUGACGCUGAGGCUCGAAAGCGUGGGGAGCAAACAGGAUUAGAUACCCCCGUAGUCCCUGUCUCUUAUAC